ACUCCUACGGGAGGCAGCAGUAGGGAAUCUUCCACAAUGGGCGCAAGCCUGAUGGAGCAACACCGCGUGAGUGAAGAAGGGUUUCGGCUCGUAAAGCUCUGUUGUUAAAGAAGAACACGUAUGAGAGUAACUGUUCAUACGUUGACGGUAUUUAACCAGAAAGUCACGGCUAACUACGUGCCAGCAGCCGCGGUAAUACGUAGGUGGCAAGCGUUAUCCGGAUUUAUUGGGCGCAAAGAGAGUGCAGGCGGUUUUCUAAGUCUGAUGUGAAAGCCUUCGGCUUAACCGGAGAAGUGCAUCGGAAACUGGAUAACUUGAGUGCAGAAGAGGGUAGUGGAACUCCAUGUGUAGCGGUGGAAUGCGUAGAUAUAUGGAAGAACACCAGUGGCGAAGGCGGCUACCUGGUCUGCAACUGACGCUGAGACUCGAAAGCAUGGGUAGCGAACAGGAUUAGAUACCCUGGUAGGAUAGCG
This 473-nucleotide ribosomal RNA is filed under the name uncultured bacterium. RNAcentral's name for it is "bacterial SSU rRNA". It matches the Rfam family "Bacterial small subunit ribosomal RNA", at positions 335 to 801 of the family's 1533-position model. The record is from RNAcentral.